CCUACGGGUGGCAGCAGUGAGGAAUAUUGGUCAAUGGACGGAAGUCUGAACCAGCCAUGCCGCGUGCAGGAUGACGGCUCUCUGAGUUGUAAACUGCUUUUGUACGAGAAUAAUAGUUCUUACGUGUAGGGAUUUGAAUGUAUCGUACGAAUAAGGAUCGGCUAACUCCGUGCCAGCAGCCGCGGUAAUACGGAGGAUUCGAGCGUUAUACGGAUUUAUUGGGUUUAAAGGGUGCGUAGGCUGUCGGAUAAGUUAGAGGUCAAAUGGCGGGGCUUAACCCCGUGCCUGCUUCUGAUACUGUUCGACUAGAGAGCGGAUGAAGCAGGCGGAAUGAGUAGUGUAGCGGUGAAAUGCGUAGAUAUUAGGAAGAACACCGAUUGCGAAGGCAGCUUGCUAGUCCGCAUCUGACGCUGAGGCGCGAAAGCGUGGGUAGCGAACAGGAUUAGAUACCCCGGUAGUC
This 460-nucleotide ribosomal RNA is filed under the name uncultured bacterium. RNAcentral describes it as "partial 16S ribosomal RNA". It matches the Rfam family "Bacterial small subunit ribosomal RNA", at positions 338 to 795 of the family's 1533-position model. The record is from RNAcentral.